AGGGAUGAAGGCCUUCGGGUCGUAAACCUCUUUCGAUCGGGAAAAACGGCCCUGUGAAGAGCGGGGUCUGAUGGUACCGGUGGAAGAAGCCCCGGCUAACUACGUGC
Molecule: ribosomal RNA, 107 nt
Filed under: uncultured bacterium
Lineage: Bacteria
Description: partial 16S ribosomal RNA
Rfam family: Bacterial small subunit ribosomal RNA
Source: RNAcentral